UACGAAGGGGGCUAGCGUUGUUCGGAUUUACUGGGCGUAAAGCGCACGUAGGCGGAUUGUUAAGUCGGGGGUGAAAUCCUGGAGCUCAACUCCAGAAUUGCCUUCGAUACUGGCUUUCUAGAGGCUGGAAGAGGUUAGUGGAAUUCCCAGUGUAGAGGUGAAAUUCGUAGAUAUUGGGGAGAACACCAGUGGCGAAGGCGGCUAACUGGUCCAGAUCUGACGCUGAGGUGCGAAAGCGUGGGGAGCAAACAGG
This 253-nucleotide ribosomal RNA is filed under the name uncultured bacterium. Its description in RNAcentral is "partial 16S ribosomal RNA". It matches the Rfam family "Bacterial small subunit ribosomal RNA", at positions 524 to 776 of the family's 1533-position model. The record is from RNAcentral.